UCCCCCAUGGCGCAAUUGGCUAGCGCGUUCGACUGUUACUCGUUUGGUGAGAAAUGGAAUCGGGAGGUUGAUAGGUAAGAAUACCUCAUUACACAUACAGCUGAUUGUAUUCACCACUAACACCGCCUUUCAGUUCGAGCCUAUCUGGGGGAG
Molecule: non-coding RNA, 153 nt
Organism: Pseudocercospora fijiensis CIRAD86
Lineage: Eukaryota; Fungi; Ascomycota; Dothideomycetes; Mycosphaerellales; Mycosphaerellaceae
Source: the annotation of a RefSeq genome assembly